UACGUAGGGUGCGAGCGUUGUCCGGAAUUAUUGGGCGUAAAGAGCUCGUAGGUGGUUUGUCGCGUUGUUCGUGAAAACUCACAGCUCAACUGUGGGCGUGCGGGCGAUACGGGCAGACUGGAGUACUGCAGGGGAGACUGGAAUUCCUGGUGUAGCGGUGGAACGCGCAGAUAUCAGGAGGAACACCGGUGGCGAAGGCGGGUCUCUGGGCAGUAACUGACGCUGAGGAGCGAAAGCGUGGGGAGCGAACAGG
Molecule: ribosomal RNA, 253 nt
Filed under: uncultured bacterium
Lineage: Bacteria
Description: partial 16S ribosomal RNA
Rfam family: Bacterial small subunit ribosomal RNA
Source: RNAcentral